CCUGCUAAUACACUAUAAGGCAGUCUGAACUCGCACAAAACUGCAAAUUUGGGCUGAGAUUGGGUCUUGAGGGGGGGCGAGGUAAGGUGCCAUUGCAAGUGUUUUAAGGCCACCGCAACAGCAACUCUUCAUGGGUAAUUGGACUGACCCCAAAAUAUUCCUUCCACUGUAUUGGAACUGGAAUUUUCUUUAUGUGAGUGACAUUUCUUUAUGUCAUUCCUGGAAUAAAGCCUACAAGGGUGUAUCACAUCUCAAGACGCAUGUAAAGGGUUAAAAUAGGAGAUUGUGUUCUGUUCCUGCAUGCUGAAUUGUAAGACUUGGAAAAUGAGCGCAGUGGAACCUGGUGCGUACACACCUGUAGUAUACACGGGAUGCGGUCAGGGUGCCAGAAAUCCGAAUACACACCUGCAGUUUAUUGCACCUCCUUUUAUUUCCACCUAGUGAUUGUGCAACUUGCCCUCUUCAUUGCCAUAAGCCCAGUUUUCAGUUACAGACUGAGCAGAGAACCAGGAAUACAGU
Pseudophryne corroboree (corroboree frog) is the source of this 519-nucleotide long non-coding RNA. RefSeq lists it as uncharacterized. Lineage: Eukaryota; Metazoa; Chordata; Amphibia; Anura; Myobatrachidae. The transcript has 3 exons. The record is from RefSeq and is a predicted model, not a curated record.